RNAcentral lists this transfer RNA (75 nucleotides) under Gredgaria maugeana. RNAcentral's name for it is "tRNA-Val". It matches the Rfam family "tRNA". From Rfam's summary of the family: Transfer RNA (tRNA) molecules are approximately 80 nucleotides in length. Their secondary structure includes four short double-helical elements and three loops (D, anti-codon, and T loops). Lineage: Eukaryota; Rhodophyta; Florideophyceae; Ceramiales; Rhodomelaceae. The record is from RNAcentral.
GAGCAAUUAAUUCAAUAAUGGUAGAAUAGUUCAUUUACAUUGAAAAAGUUAUUGGUUCAAAUCCGAUAUUGCUUA